AUUAUACUCCCUCCGUUCGGCAUUACUUGUCGCAAAAAUGGAUAUAUCUAGAUGUAUUUUAGUACUAGAUACAUCCAUUUUCGAGACAAGUAAUUCCGAACGGAGGGAGUAGUAU
Non-coding RNA from Triticum aestivum (bread wheat), 115 nucleotides. Lineage: Eukaryota; Viridiplantae; Streptophyta; Magnoliopsida; Poales; Poaceae. The record is from Rfam.